AGAGUUUGAUCCUGGCUCAGAGUGAACGCUGGCGGCGUGCUUAACACAUGCAAGUCGAACGAGAACGGAAUAUAGCUUGCUAUAUUUGUCAGCUAAGUGGCGCACGGGUGAGUAAUAUAUAGGUAACAUGCCCCAAAGAAGAGGAUAACGUUUGGAAACGAACGCUAAUUACUCUAUAUGCCUUUAAGUCAUAAGACUGCAAGGGAAAUAUUUAUAGCUUUGGGAUUGGCCUGUACAGUAUCAGCUAGUUGGUGAGGUAAUGGCUCACCAAGGCAAUGACGCUUAACUGGUUUGAGAGGAUGAUCAGUCACACUGGAACUGAGACACGGUCCAGACUCCUACGGGAGGCAGCAGUGGGGAAUAUUGCACAAUGGACGAAAGUCUGAUGCAGCAACGCCGCGUGGAGGAUGACACAUUUCGGUGCGUAAACUCCUUUUAUAUAUGAAGAUAAUGACGGUAAUAUAUGAAUAAGCGCCGGCUAACUCCGUGCCAGCAGCCGCGGUAAUACGGAGGGCGCAAGCGUUACUCGGAAUCACUGGGCGUAAAGAGCGUGUAGGCGGUUGUUUAAGUCAGAAGUGAAAUCCUAUAGCUCAACUAUAGAACUGCUUUUGAAACUGAAUAACUAGAAUAUGGGAGAGGUAGAUGGAAUUUCUGGUGUAGGGGUAAAAUCCGUAGAGAUCAGAAGGAAUACCGAUUGCGAAGGCGAUCUACUGGAACAUUAUUGACGCUGAGACGCGAAAGCGUGGGGAGCAAACAGGAUUAGAUACCCUGGUAGUCCACGCCCUAAACGAUGAGAACUAUUGGAGGAAUUUAUAAUCCUUUAGUAUCGUAGCUAACGCGAUAAGUUCUCCGCCUGGGGAGUACGGCCGCAAGGUUAAAACUCAAAUGAAUUGACGGGGGCCCGCACAAGCGGUGGAGCAUGUGGUUUAAUUCGAUGCAACGCGAAGAACCUUACCUGGUCUUGACAUCCUUGGAAUUUCGCAGAAACGUGAAAGUGCCUUCGGGAGCUAUCAUACAGGUGCUGCACGGCUGUCGUCAGCUCGUGUCGUGAGAUGUUGGGUUAAGUCCCGCAACGAGCGCAACCCUCGUCAUUAGUUACUAACAGUUCGGCUGAGGACUCUAAUGAGACUGCCUUCGUAAGGAGGAGGCAGGUGUGGACGACGUCAAGUCAUCAUGGCCCUUACGGCUAGGGCGACACACGUGCUACAAUGGUUAGGACAAAGAGAAGCGAUACCGCGAGGUGUAGCAAAUCUAUAAACCUAAUCUCAGUUCGGAUUGUAGUCUGCAACUCGCCUACAUGAAGCUGGAAUCACUAGUAAUCGUAGAUCAGCCAUGCUACGGUGAAUACGUUCCCGGGUCUUGUACUCACCGCCCGUCACACCAUGGGAGUUGAUUUCACCCGAAGCCGGAAUACUAAAUUAGUUACCGUCCACAGUGGGUUCAGCGACUGGGGUGAAGUCGUAACAAGGUAACC
RNAcentral lists this ribosomal RNA (1474 nucleotides) under uncultured prokaryote. RNAcentral describes it as "partial 16S ribosomal RNA". It matches the Rfam family "Bacterial small subunit ribosomal RNA". The record is from RNAcentral.